RNAcentral lists this non-coding RNA (89 nucleotides) under Desulfosporosinus sp. RNAcentral describes it as "c-di-GMP sequence". It matches the Rfam family "c-di-GMP-I riboswitch aptamer". Rfam says of the family: GEMM was predicted in a large-scale screen for bacterial structured RNA regulatory elements. RNAcentral also lists the same sequence under 1 other name. The record is from RNAcentral. Lineage: Bacteria; Bacillati; Bacillota; Clostridia; Eubacteriales; Desulfitobacteriaceae.
UCAAAACUAGGGCAAACCGCACGAAAGUGCGAGACGCAAAGCCAAAGGGUCUAAUUUCCUUACCGGAAUAUGAUAGCCUAGCUGCAAAA